RNAcentral lists this ribosomal RNA (253 nucleotides) under uncultured bacterium. Its description in RNAcentral is "partial 16S ribosomal RNA". It matches the Rfam family "Bacterial small subunit ribosomal RNA", at positions 524 to 776 of the family's 1533-position model. The record is from RNAcentral.
UACGAAGGGGGCUAGCGUUGUUCGGAUUUACUGGGCGUAAAGCGCACGUAGGCGGAUCGUUAAGUCGGGGGUGAAAUCCUGGAGCUCAACUCCAGAACUGCCUUCGAUACUGGCGAUCUUGAGUCCGGAAGAGGUGAGUGGAACUCCUAGUGUAGAGGUGAAAUUCGUAGAUAUUGGGAAGAACACCAGUGGCGAAGGCGGCUCACUGGUCCGGUACUGACGCUGAGGUGCGAAAGCGUGGGGAGCAAACAGG